AUUGAACGCUGGCGGCAGGCCUAACACAUGCAAGUCGAGCGAGCGGCGGACGGGUGAGUAAUGUCUGGGAAACUGCCUGCUGGAGGUGGAUAACUACUGGAAACGGUAGCUAAUACCGCAUCCCAUCAGAUGUGCCCAGAUGGGUUUUGCUAGUAGGUGGGGUAACGGCUCACCUAGGCGACGAUCCCUAGCUGGUCUGAGAGGAUGACGGACCAGACUGGAACUGAGACACGGUCCAGACCCCUACGGGAGGAAGCAGUGGGGAAUAUGGCACAAUAGGAGCAAGACUGAUGCAAGCAUGACGCGUGUGUGAAGAAAGACUUCGGGUUGUAAAGCACUUUCAGCGGGGAGGCGGUACCCGCAGAAGAAGCACCGGCUAACUCCGUGCCAGCAGCCGCGGUAAUAC
RNAcentral lists this ribosomal RNA (406 nucleotides) under uncultured bacterium. RNAcentral's name for it is "partial 16S ribosomal RNA". It matches the Rfam family "Bacterial small subunit ribosomal RNA", at positions 30 to 526 of the family's 1533-position model. The record is from RNAcentral.